Molecule: ribosomal RNA, 586 nt
Filed under: uncultured bacterium
Lineage: Bacteria
Description: bacterial SSU rRNA
Rfam family: Bacterial small subunit ribosomal RNA
Source: RNAcentral
CCUACGGGAGGCAGCAGUCGGGAAUUUUGGGCAAUGGGCGAAAGCCUGACCCAGCAACGCCGCGUGAAGGAUGAAAUCCUUCGGGAUGUAAACUUCGCAAGAACGGGAAGAAUAAGUGAGGGUCAAUAUCUCUCACGAUGACGGUACCGUUUGUAAGCUCCGGCUAACUCCGUGCCAGCAGCCGCGGUAAUACGGGGGGAGCAAGCGUUGUUCGGAUUUACUGGGCGUAAAGGGCGCGUAGGCGGCCACCGCAAGUCGACUGUGAAAUCUCCGGGCUUAACCCGGAAAGGUCAGCCGAUACUGCGGGGCUAGAGUGCAGAAGGGGCAACUGGAAUUCUCGGUGUAGCGGUGAAAUGCGUAGAUAUCGAGAGGAACACCUGCGGCGAAGGCGGGUUGCUGGGCUGACACUGACGCUGAGGCGCGAAAGCUAGGGGAGCGAACGGGAUUAGAUACCCCGGUAGUCCUAGCCUUAAACGAUGAAUGCUUGGUGCCUGGGCUUUUAUAGUCCCCGGGUGCCGUCGCUAACGCUUUAAGCAUUCCGCCUGGGGAGUACGGUCGCAAGACUGAAACUCAAAGGAAUUGACGG